This is a long non-coding RNA of Myotis davidii, 394 nucleotides long. RefSeq lists it as uncharacterized. The transcript has 2 exons. NCBI's taxonomy places the organism in Eukaryota, Metazoa, Chordata, Mammalia, Chiroptera, Vespertilionidae. The record is from RefSeq and is a predicted model, not a curated record.
UUUUUUUCACUUGCAAUUUUUUUUCCUGAGCUGCCAACCCAGCUAUUGAACCGCAGGCCUGCUGCUCUUAGUGCUCCACUAAGAACUGAACCUCUUCCCACCAGACAUGCUUUCUUCCCCAGUCGCCUGCAUUGAGGAGCGCACAGCCGCACCGAGCCCUCAGCCUCACUGGUGCUGGCCCCUCAGGCCCUGCUUCUCUUCCUCAUCCACUCACCUGGCGGUGACAUUCCUGUUUCCUGUUCCUUCCAUGGCACCAAGCAUUUCUACUGUCCACGUUGGUCCGAGUCUUCCCUAGACUGGAAGCUCCCUGGCGGCAAGAACUGUCUUAUCUCUGUGUCCUGUCGACUAGAAUGUACCUGUGCAACAUACUUAAUAAAAGCUUGUUGGAUAAAAA